AGAGUUUGAUCAUGGCUCAGAACGAACGCUGGCGGCAUGCCUAACACAUGCAAGUCGAACGUGAUCCAGGCCUUCGGGUCUGGUGAAAGUGGCAGACGGGUGAGUAACGCGUGGGAACCUGCCCAAUGGUAGGGAAUAACCGCGGGAAACUGCGGCUAAUACCCUAUGUGCCCUAUGGGGCAAAGAUUUAUCGCCAUUGGAGGGGCCCGCGUCGGAUUAGGUAGUUGGUAGGGUAACGGCCUACCAAGCCAUCGAUCCGUAGCUGGUCUGAGAGGAUGAUCAGCCACACUGGGACUGAGAUACGGCCCAGACUCCUACGGGAGGCAGCAGUGGGGAAUAUUGGACAAUGGGGACAACCCUGAUCCAGCAAUGCCGCGUGAGUGAUGAAGGCCUUCGGGUUGUAAAGCUCUUUCGGCGGGGAAGAUGAUGACGGUACCCGCAGAAGAAGCCCCGGCUAACUUCGUGCCAGCAGCCGCGGUAAUACGAAGGGGGCUAGCGUUGUUCGGAAUUACUGGGCGUAAAGGGCGCGUAGGUUGUGCUGUAAGUCAGGCGUGAAAUCCCCGGGCUCAACCUGGGAAUUGCGCAUGAUACUGCGGCGCUUGAAGACGGGAGAGGAUGGCGGAAUUCCCAGUGUAGAGGUGAAAUUCGUAGAUAUUGGGAAGAACACCGGUGGCGAAGGCGGCCAUCUGGCCCGUAAUUGACGCUGAGGCGCGAAAGCGUGGGGAGCAAACAGGAUUAGAUACCCUGGUAGUCCACGCCGUAAACGAUGAGUGCUAGACGUCGGGGGGCUUGCCCUUCGGUGUCGACGCUAACGCAUUAAGCACUCCGCCUGGGGAGUACGGUCGCAAGAUUAAAACUCAAAGGAAUUGACGG
This 873-nucleotide ribosomal RNA is filed under the name uncultured bacterium. Its description in RNAcentral is "bacterial SSU rRNA". It matches the Rfam family "Bacterial small subunit ribosomal RNA", at positions 8 to 916 of the family's 1533-position model. The record is from RNAcentral.